AUAAAGGGGAGGGAGAGGAAGAAUAAACAAUAAUGAUCUUUUUUUGUUCCCCCUCUGUAACCUGAUGUAUUUAAUAAGACAAAAGUGUGAAUGAUGGUGGUUCCCAGGGCAGGAGCAAGAGCAUUUCCUCCCAGCAUGGAGAGCAGGAGGGUGGCAGAGCUGGAAUUCAGAUUCCCAUGGCCUGACUCCAAAGCCCAAGCCCUAAGUAAAUCAUGAGGAAGAAGACAGAGCUGUGAGUUAAGCUGUUCAAGGUCCCGCAAGGGAGAGGACCUAGCCCAGACCUAAGUAUGAGGGGAAUCUUCCUGGAAGAAGCAACCUGUACCUGAGACCUCAAGGGUUGCAGACAAGGGCCUGUGGACUGAUUCUGGAAAAUGAAAGCUCAGUAGGACUAGCAUGUGGAAUACUGCAGGGGAUUAGGGGGAAGGCAGAAAUGAGGCCACAGAAUAAGCAAAGAACAAAUCAUAUAGGUCCUUGAAAACUCAGUUAGGACAUUCCAUCUUUAUCCUCAAAAAUGUUGGGAAUCACUAAAGUGUUUUAAGCAGGAAAACAUCAGGGUCAGUUUUCCACUUACAAAAUAUAAUUCUGGCAACUUGGAGAAUAAUUUGGAUGAAUCAAGACUGAAGGCCAAGAGGCCAAUUAGGAGGCUAUAGUCAUCAAUCAGUAGAAAGAUGAUGGUGGCCCAAAGCAGGAUAGAGGCAACAAGGAGAGAGAUAGGAUGUCUGGUCCCAGAGGUAUUUUGGAAGUAAAGUUGGCAGAUGUAGAGGAGGUGAGACAAAGGCAGAAAUAGGAUGCCAAGAUGUUUCUCUAAUAGUGUGCCAAUCAAAGUGCCAGUCGUUGAGAAAGGGGACAUGGGAGGAGGCUGCCAUUCUGUGGAGCAAAAUCAGUUCACUUUAGGACAAGCUGGAUUUGAAUCACCAUUGUGACAUUUAGUUGGCAAUGCCCAGUAAGAAGGCAGAUAUAAGAGUCUGAAGCUCAGGAGAAGGAGCUGGGCUAGCAGUCCAUCUAUCUAAUGGUUGAGCCUUGGAAAUGGAUGAAAUUCCCUUGAGAAAGGUGUGUAUGAGAAGAAAAGAAGGCUUAUGAUCAAAUCUGAAAAACACCAGCAUGUAAAGUCGGGGGAAAAAAUAAGUCAAAACAAACAAACAAACAACAACAACAACAAAGAAACAGGAAAUGAGCAGCUGCCAGGAAGGUAGAAAAAAAAAUGCCUACAGAGGACAAGCGUGGUGUCAUGGAAGCUGCAAAGAAAAUUUUUCUGGAAGGCAGAAGUGGUCAGCAAGCAAAGAAAUGUUAAAAGGAUUUAGAAACAAGGAAGUUGUCAGUCACCUUUGGGAAGCCAGCUUCAGUUGCAAAGUGAGGGUAGAAGCCAGACUGGAGGGUAGCUGUCCAGCAGGAAAGUAGGUGGGAAGAAGUGGAGAUAGCACAUGCAAGCACCUGGAAGCAUGGCUGGAAAGGCAAGGAGAAAGAGGGAGCAAUAGCUGGUGGCGAAACUGGACUAAAUAUUGGUUCCUUCCCACUUCACAGUUAUCAUGAUUUGAUAGAUGAACUAGACCAAUUUCUCUUUGCAUGAACUAAAAUUGAUAAGUGGCAUUACUAUCAAUCAGGAACCACUGAGCUUCUAAAUCACCUGAUUUCUCUAGGAAGAUACCAAAAAUAAAGAUCAUGUACAACCUCACAACAUUUGAUUUAGAUUCAAGAAAGCUGCAAUUAACCCUUUGAUUCUAUGUAAUCAUAAAAUUUUAUUAUUAUUUUGAUUAUAAUAACAUCAGCUAACAUUUGUGGAUCACUCACUAUAUGCCAUGAACUGUUCUAAAGGCUAUGCAUAUAACUAGUUUGAUCCUCACAACACCAUGAGAUAAAUCAUUAUCGCCAUUUUACAGAUGCAGAAAUUGAGAGAGAGUUGAAGUAACUGGUUCACAAUCACAAUCGCAUGGCAAGCAAGUAUUGGAGUCAGGAUUCCUUAAGGGUGCUUCUCCCUGACUUAUCCCAGGGACAGGGGAGAAAAAAAAUUGAAAGGGUCCGGGGCAGAAAAGAUGAAAUAAUUCUGAGGUUGCCAGAACACUUCCAUUCUAGAAAAGUCCUGGCAUGAAAGGAGAACAAACUGGUCUGUAGGUACUCUCAGCUACUUUUCCCUAGUGGGUCUGGGGCAGACAAUGGUAUUUCCUGAGCCAAAUGCUCUAGGCCUUGCUGGCACCAACCACUUAAAUAUGUUCUUUGAAAUUCUAGUUGUCUGAAGGCUGGAGCACAGAGGUGAGCUGAAUAUCCUAAAAGGACUACUGAAGAGUGGAAAGCACAAAGUCCUUCUUGUAAAUGGUCAUCCCAGCUUGAUUCCAUAUCUGCACAGCUUUCUACCAUUUGUUGAGGGCCUAUAUACCAUUAAGUCAUUUUGUCUUCAUGACAAGCCUAAGGGAGGCAAGCCUAGGGAGGAGCUGUGAACCCUGGAUCUUUACACACCUUCUCCUCUCUUUUUGAAACAUUCUUUCUCCUCUCCAUUUUUCUUAUGUGAUUGGUUGGCAUCUGGCUUAUCAUUCCCUAUUUCUUGUUUUACUGGGUUAAAGGGAAGGAGAGUCGUAAGAAUCUUAAAAAUAUAUUUUUAUUUGGUUUUGAACUAAAUGAGAUAAUGAUCUAUGUCUCUUCUUAGGAGGAAGAAACACCAAUAUUAACCCUUCACCAGCUGCCUGGACGCAUCAGAAAUACUCAAGGAUAAGCGACACCCAGAUGAGAUGAUGGGCCUGGAGCUGCUGUUUGUAAAGAGGAAGAACUGGAAGUGCUGGAAGCUACCAGGUACUGCUAUGCCUGUCACUCCAUCUGAUCACAUGACCUUCAGAGUGAUAACGGCUGCUGCUUCACCUCUGCCUUCCAAAUCUUAUGCAAGUCUCUCUCUUUGUACAACUCUGGCUUGAGACGAUAAAGGAAACCAUACCUAGUUUCUGAUUAAACCAAGCUGACACAGUAAAAUCCAAUUUAUCCAAUUGGUAAAUCUCCUUUACCAAUGAGAAGUAAAAGACAAACUAAAGUAAGGGUUGACUAACAUGAGCAGGGAUGUCUGACUAACAUGAGAUGGGAUGUCAACUUAGAGUCACCUUGCCUUUUCUUACACCUCCUGCAUGCCCAGUGUGUCAGCACAUUUUCUAACACUGUACCAUUAUCUCCACAAUGGCAUGCGCAUGUAUCCCCUCUUCUCCCCAUGGUCAUUAACCCUGUUCAGAUUCUCCUCACCUCUCAUCUUGAAGACUGAGUGUCUUUCGAGUCCUCCACUCACCCUGCUCUCUCUGGCCUCUUCAUCUUUUGUGCUUGAUCUUUCUUCUGCCUGGAAUGCUCUUCCCUCCUUUAUACUUGAGGUCUUAGUUUAAAGAUCACUGUAUUUUGGAAGCAUUUUGGAUCUCUCAAAAAAUCUGAGUUAGAUACCACACUGAUUUGCUUCUCUAUUCUAGUACUUAUUACAUUUUAGGUCUUAUUUAAUUGUCUGUGUUCCUCUCCAUUCCCACCAACUAGGGCCUGACACAUAGGGGUUCAAUAAUUGUCAAGUGAUUGACAGAAUGAAUGAAUGGAUGGAUGAGUGAAAAAGUCUCUCCAUUUCCAGUGUGUAUUCUCUCUAAUAUCUUCUACAUUCUACACUGAAAUUGUCUUUUUGAAAGCCUGGACUUCUUCAGUGGCUUGUCAUUGCCAGUGGAUAAAAUGCAGACUUUUCAUCUGUGCAUUCAAGAACUACCACAUAUAGUCUCAGCCUACCAUUUCUUUUUUUUUUUUUUUUUAGAUGGAGCCUUUCUCUGCUGCCCAGGCUGGAGUGCAGUGGCAUGGUCUCGGUUCACUGCAACCUCUGCCUGUUGGGUGCAAGAGAUUCUCCUGCCUCAGCCUCCUGAGUAGCUGGGAUUACAGGCACCCACCACCACACCCAGCUAAUUUUUGUAUUUUUAGUAGAGAUGGAG
Molecule: long non-coding RNA, 3926 nt
Filed under: Homo sapiens (human)
Lineage: Eukaryota; Metazoa; Chordata; Mammalia; Primates; Hominidae
Description: HSALNT0096007
Source: RNAcentral